Molecule: long non-coding RNA, 752 nt
Organism: Helianthus annuus (common sunflower)
Lineage: Eukaryota; Viridiplantae; Streptophyta; Magnoliopsida; Asterales; Asteraceae
Exons: 5
Source: RefSeq, a predicted model, not a curated record
GCAAUUCUCCUUCAUUAGGAUCAUUUACAAACACUUAAAAACCACCACCACCACAAAUCUGGAGAACCACAUUGACCCACCAGAGAUUUACGAGAGAGAGAGAGAGAAAUAUAAGAGUUUCCGGUCACCACAGCGGCAGUCAGCAUCCGCGACGCAAGUGGUUACUAGGGUUUCUAAGCCUGCGUCUCCAUACUCUGCAACGCCAAAGGGGUUUGAUUGCUCAUAGAGAUGGAUCUGAUGCACUGUAAGCCAUUUUACUUGAACCCCAUUUGUUCUUAGAAUAAAUUUGAUUUUUAUAAGGAAAAUUGCUAAGAAAAAAGAUCACGGUGGUUAAUGAUUGGUUGAGGUGCUGUUCUAUGUUUGCAAAGAGAAUCCUUUGGCUCCUCUCAUUUUGCAUCAAUACAUGAUAUAAUGGGCUUGCUUCAGGAACAUCAGCCAGAAACAUCAUUUACAGAUGGUUGCUUCAGUUUGGAGGGUUGGGUUUAAAGAAUGUCUGCUUGCUGAUGGUCUAUUCUUAGCUAAAGGUGCCAUGGAAUACGGCGUUGUUCUUUCAUACGUUUUGAUUCGAUGGUAUUUAAUUCGAGUUAGUUUCUGUUUAAACCAGCCGAAAUGAGGAAGGGAUUGCCUUGCUUCAAAAGAACCAGAGCUCGCUGGAAAAUCGACAAAAUUAUACACUUCAUUUUUCUCUUUCAUUUCCCCACAUUUCAGAGACAACUAGAAGGGUCAAAAUGUAAAGAACUUUCUCUUUCCAG